Molecule: ribosomal RNA, 514 nt
Filed under: uncultured bacterium
Lineage: Bacteria
Description: bacterial SSU rRNA
Rfam family: Bacterial small subunit ribosomal RNA
Source: RNAcentral
GAUUAUGGCUCAGAUUGAACGCUGGCGGCAGGCCUAACACAUGCAAGUCGAACGGUAACAGGAAGAAGCUUGCUCUUGCUGACGAGUGGCGGACGGGUGAGUAAUGUCUGGGAAACUGCCUGAUGGAGGGGGGAUAACUACUGGAAACGGUAGCUAAUACCGCAUAACGUCGCAAGACCAAAGAGGGGGACCUUCGGGCCUCUUGCCAUCGGAUGUGCCCAGAUGGGAUUAGCUUGUUGGUGGGGUAACGGCUCACCAAGGCGACGAUCCCUAGCUGGUCUGAGAGGAUGACCAGCCACACUGGAACUGAGACACGGUCCAGACUCCUACGGGAGGCAGCAGUGGGGAAUAUUGCACAAUGGGCGCAAGCCUGAUGCAGCCAUGCCGCCGUGUAUGAAGAAGGCCUUCGGGUUGUAAAGUACUUUCAGCGGGGAGGAAGGGAGUAAAGUUAAUACCUUUGCUCAUUGACGUUACCCGCAGAAGAAGCACCGGCUAACUCCGUGCCAGCCGCAGC